Molecule: RNase P RNA, 213 nt
Filed under: Zymomonas mobilis
Lineage: Bacteria; Pseudomonadati; Pseudomonadota; Alphaproteobacteria; Sphingomonadales; Zymomonadaceae
Description: partial RNase P RNA component class A
Rfam family: Bacterial RNase P class A
About the family: Ribonuclease P (RNase P) is a ubiquitous endoribonuclease, found in archaea, bacteria and eukarya as well as chloroplasts and mitochondria. Its best characterised activity is the generation of mature 5'-ends of tRNAs by cleaving the 5'-leader elements of precursor-tRNAs. Cellular RNase Ps are ribonucleoproteins.
Source: RNAcentral
AAGGUGCGGUAAGAGCGCACCGCAUUUCCGGUAACGGCAAUGGCAAGGUAAACCCCACCGGGAGCAAAACCGAAUAGGGAUGGCAUAUGGGCUGGCUCCGCCCCGUCAUCCGGGUUGGUUGCUGAAGACCGGAAGCAAUUCCGGUUUUAGAUGAAUGGUCGCCUAUCCAGCUUUGCUGGUGGACAGAACCCGGCUUAUAGACCUUCUGGCGUA